GAUGAACGCUGGCUACAGGCUUAACACAUGCAAGUCGAGGGGAAACGACGGGGAAGCUUGCUUCCCCGGGCGUCGACCGGCGCACGGGUGAGUAACGCGUAUCCAACCUGCCUCUGACUGAGGGAUAACCCGUCGAAAGUCGGCCUAAUACCUCAUGGCAUCGUCUGCGGGCAUCCAACGACGAUUAAAGAUUUCAUCGGUCAGAGAUGGGGAUGCGUCUGAUUAGCUUGUUGGCGGGGUAACGGCCCACUAAGGCGACGAUCAGUAGGGGUUCUGAGAGGAAGGUCCCCCACAUUGGAACUGAGACACGGUCCAAACUCCUACGGGAGGCAGCAGUGAGGAAUAUUGGUCAAUGGGCGAGAGCCUGAACCAGCCAAGUAGCGUGCAGGAUGACGGCCCUAUGGGUUGUAAACUGCUUUUAUGCGGGGAUAAAGUGAGGGACGUGUCCUUCAUUGCAGGUACCGCAUGAAUAAGGACCGGCUAAUUCCGUG
RNAcentral lists this ribosomal RNA (491 nucleotides) under uncultured bacterium. RNAcentral describes it as "partial 16S ribosomal RNA". It matches the Rfam family "Bacterial small subunit ribosomal RNA", at positions 28 to 507 of the family's 1533-position model. The record is from RNAcentral.